AGCGAACGCUGGCGGCAGGCUUAACACAUGCAAGUCGAGCGGGCACUUUCGGGUGUCAGCGGCGGACGGGUGAGUAACGCGUGGGAACGUGCCCUCUGGUUCGGAAUAACUCAGGGAAACUUGAGCUAAUACCGGAUACGCCCUUUUGGGGAAAGGCUUGCUGCCGGAGGAUCGGCCCGCGUCUGAUUAGCUAGUUGGUGAGGUAACGGCUCACCAAGGCGACGAUCAGUAGCUGGUCUGAGAGGAUGAUCAGCCACACUGGGACUGAGACACGGCCCAGACUCCUACGGGAGGCAGCAGUGGGGAAUAUUGGACAAUGGGCGCAAGCCUGAUCCAGCCAUGCCGCCUGAGUGAUGAAGGCCUUAGGGUUGUAAAGCUCUUUUAUCCGGGACGAUAAUGACGGUACCGGAGGAAUAAGCCCCGGCUAACUUCGUG
This 435-nucleotide ribosomal RNA is filed under the name uncultured bacterium. RNAcentral's name for it is "partial 16S ribosomal RNA". It matches the Rfam family "Bacterial small subunit ribosomal RNA", at positions 29 to 507 of the family's 1533-position model. The record is from RNAcentral.